This 253-nucleotide ribosomal RNA is filed under the name uncultured bacterium. Its description in RNAcentral is "partial 16S ribosomal RNA". It matches the Rfam family "Bacterial small subunit ribosomal RNA", at positions 524 to 776 of the family's 1533-position model. The record is from RNAcentral.
UACGUAGGGGGCAAGCGUUAUCCGGAUUUACUGGGUGUAAAGGGAGCGUAGACGGCGGUGCAAGCCGGAUGUGAAAGCCCGGGGCUCAACCCCGGGACUGCAUUUGGAACUGUGCUGCUAGAGUGUCGGAGAGGCAGGCGGAAUUCCUAGUGUAGCGGUGAAAUGCGUAGAUAUUAGGAGGAACACCAGUGGCGAAGGCGGCCUGCUGGGCGAUGACUGACGUUGAGGCUCGAAAGCGUGGGGAGCAAACAGG